CACAACAUCCUUACCAAGCGGGCCAAGCUGCUGAGUGAGAAUGAGUUCCUUGAGCAGCAGAAUACAGAGCUGCAGAUGCUGCUGCAGCAGUACAUCAAUUCCAGGAGGGAAAUCAUUCUUGCCAGUAGUAUAGUCCAUUAGGAACUAUUGAAGAAUCAUCAAUCCAGGAUUACCAGGCUGCCAAGGAAAAGCUUGGCAGGAAC
RNAcentral lists this long non-coding RNA (203 nucleotides) under Phascolarctos cinereus (koala). RNAcentral describes it as "lncRNA (ENSPCIG00000030624.1)". Lineage: Eukaryota; Metazoa; Chordata; Mammalia; Diprotodontia; Phascolarctidae. The record is from RNAcentral.